Molecule: ribosomal RNA, 409 nt
Filed under: bacterium
Lineage: Bacteria
Description: partial 16S ribosomal RNA
Rfam family: Bacterial small subunit ribosomal RNA
Source: RNAcentral
UGGGGAAUAUUGCACAAUGGGCGAAAGCCUGAUGCAGCGACGCCGCGUGAGGGAUGACGGCCUUCGGGUUGUAAACCUCUUUCAGCAGGGACGAAGCGCAAGUGACGGUACCUGCAGAAGAAGCACCGGCUAACUACGUGCCAGCAGCCGCGGUAAUACGUAGGGUGCAAGCGUUGUCCGGAAUUACUGGGCGUAAAGAGUUCGUAGGCGGUUUGUCGCGUCGUUUGUGAAAACCAGCAGCUCAACUGCUGGCUUGCAGGCGAUACGGGCAGACUUGAGUACUGCAGGGGAGACUGGAGUUCCUGGUGUAGCGGUGAGAUGCGCAGAUAUCAGGAGGAACACCGGUGGCGAAGGCGGGUCUCUGGGCAGUAACUGACGCUGAGGAACGAAAGCGUGGGUAGCGAACAGG